Molecule: long non-coding RNA, 1334 nt
Organism: Dicentrarchus labrax (European seabass)
Lineage: Eukaryota; Metazoa; Chordata; Actinopteri; Moronidae
Exons: 2
Source: RefSeq, a predicted model, not a curated record
ACAGAAAAGGUUUAACAUAUAAGUGUAAGUUUACUUUGGUUAAAAGCACCAGUAACUUGGGGGACAGCCUAGUUAAGGGGAACUACUUUACUGAUGGGUAUCAGAACGUCAUUCAUGUGUGGACUGUGGGUUUGUUUUUGUGUGGCCUGAGCAUUUUGCUGAGGGUACACCUCCAUUACUGUCAAGCUCCAUGAUCCAUCAGCAGUUGAACCUGUUGGGGCCAGUCCUUCACCUUUUGAUGUCUCUGGUUGUUUUACAUUUUUCUUAUGGUAUGAGAGGGUAGGUAUUAGCUAUAUCUAUUUAUCAUGUUUCACAAGUAAAACACACGCAGCUUGAGUCAGACGUGAAAUACGUGUUGGAACACAACGUUGUUCCAUGUUCCAGUAUACCAUAUGUGCAGUAUCAUUGCAGCAUGCCUAACACCCUCAGGCCUUUUUUCCUACACUGUACUUCCAUUUGGGUUGCAAAAUGCACCAGCUACCCUUUUCCACAGUUGAUGAAUAAGGUAGUUGCUGGGGUUAGAAGGACGCACAGGGUAUUUAGAUGAUAUCAUUGUACAGUGAUACUUGGGAAGAGCAUGUACACUGCAUCAGAGCCUUGCGUGGGACAAUCUUACUGUAAAUCUGACUGAAUGCACGUUUACAGAGAAUUUUGCAGAAAUGUUUCCACAUAAGUUUCAUCUCUUACUAACCCGUUGUUCAAAGGUCAAGUUCGACAGGUCCCGUCAGUUUGCUUUUGAAAAUAUAUCAAAUAAUAAUGUCAAGUGCUUUUUCUUCUUGUCUGGGCAGCUGCCUGUCUGGGAGAACUAUUUCAGUUACAGGUAGAUGCCAGCAACGUGGGAGCUGGAGCUGCCAUGCAGACUGGUACUGAUGUAAUUGACCACACUAUCAGUCUUCUUUCCAGGUGUGAGUUUGUUGUUGAAGUGUGGAAACCCACCUUGCAGGCCACUCUGUGAGGGCAGAGCUUGCCGAAGCCCAGGGGAGGCUGGAUCCUCCUCAGCAGAGUCACUACAUCGAGGUGUUUUAUCCUGCCCCUGACAUCCAGAUAAAUUCAAACAAAAGGCAUUAUACCACUGAGCACAGUCUUCACUACCGCCACAGGCCCUGAUACUGUAAUAACAGAUAGAUAGAUAUUUAGAGUUUUAUGGCUGUUACAAAACAAUGACCAUCCCAUCUGUCUCUACAAAAUGGGACCUUGGUACUCACUUGGCUUCCGGGUCGUAUUCGGACCAGAUCCUUUUAAACUCAUCCAGGUGAUGAGGCCCAAGGAUGGACCAAUCACGGGUCAGAUAGUCAAAGUUAUCCAUGAUGACAGCUACAAAUAGGUUGAUGAUC